GGUUAAGCGACUAAGCGUACACGGUGGAUGCCCUGGCAGUCAGAGGCGAUGAAGGACGUGCUAAUCUGCGAAAAGCGUCGGUAAGGUGAUAUGAACCGUUACAGCCGGCGAUGUCCGAAUGGGGAAACCCAGUGCAAUUCGUUGCACUAUCGUUAACUGAAUACAUAGGUUAACGAGGCGAACCGGGGGAACUGAAACAUCUAAGUACCCCGAGGAAAAGAAAUCAACCGAGAUUCCCCCAGUAGCGGCGAGCGAACGGGGAGCAGCCCAGAGUCUGAAUCAGCUUGUGUGUUAGUGGAACGGUCUGGAAAGUCCGACGGUACAGGGUGAUAGUCCCGUACACCAAAAUGCACAGGCUGUGAACUCGAAGAGUAGGGCGGGACACGUGGUAUCCUGUCUGAAUAUGGGGGGACCAUCCUCCAAGGCUAAAUACUCCUGACUGACCGAUAGUGAACCAGUACCGUGAGGGAAAGGCGAAAAGAACCCCGGCGAGGGGAGUGAAAAAGAACCUGAAACCGUGUACGUACAAGCAGUGGGAGCACCUUCGGGUGUGACUGCGUACCUUUUGUAUAAUGGGUCAGCGACUUAUAUUCUGUAGCAAGGUUAACCGUAUAGGGGAGCCGCAGGGAAACCGAGUCUUAACUGGGCGUUAAGUUGCAGGGUAUAGACCCGAAACCCGGUGAUCUAGCCAUGGGCAGGUUGAAGGUUGGGUAACACUAACUGGAGGACCGAACCGACUAAUGUUGAAAAAUUAGCGGAUGACUUGUGGCUGGGGGUGAAAGGCCAAUCAAACCGGGAGAUAGCUGGUUCUCCCCGAAAGCUAUUUAGGUAGCGCCUCGUGAACUCAUCUUCGGGGGUAGAGCACUGUUUCGGCUAGGGGGUCAUCCCGACUUACCAACCCGAUGCAAACUACGAAUACCGAAGAAUGUUAUCACGGGAGACACACGGCGGGUGCUAACGUCCGUCGUGAAGAGGGAAACAACCCAGACCGCCAGCUAAGGUCCCAAAGUCAUGGUUAAGUGGGAAACGAUGUGGGAAGGCACAGACAGCCAGGAUGUUGGCUUAGAAGCAGCCAUCAUUUAAAGAAAGCGUAAUAGCUCACUGGUCGAGUCGGCCUGCGCGGAAGAUGUAACGGGGCUAAACCAUGCACCGAAGCUGCGGCAGCGACACUAUGUGUUGUUGGGUAGGGGAGCGUUCUGUAAGCCUGCGAAGGUGACCUGUGAGGGUUGCUGGAGGUAUCAGAAGUGCGAAUGCUGACAUAAGUAACGAUAAAGCGGGUGAAAAGCCCGCUCGCCGGAAGACCAAGGGUUCCUGUCCAACGUUAAUCGGGGCAGGGUGAGUCGACCCCUAAGGCGAGGCCGAAAGGCGUAGUCGAUGGGAAACAGGUUAAUAUUCCUGUACUUGGUGUUACUGCGAAGGGGGGACGGAGAAGGCUAUGUUAGCCGGGCGACGGUUGUCCCGGUUUAAGCAUGUAGGCUGGUUAUCCAGGCAAAUCCGGAUAAUCAAGGCUGAGGUGUGAUGACGAGGCACUACGGUGCUGAAGUAACAAAUGCCCUGCUUCCAGGAAAAGCCUCUAAGCAUCAGGUAACAUCAAAUCGUACCCCAAACCGACACAGGUGGUCAGGUAGAGAAUACCAAGGCGCUUGAGAGAACUCGGGUGAAGGAACUAGGCAAAAUGGUGCCGUAACUUCGGGAGAAGGCACGCUGGUGUGUAGGUGAAGCCCCUGCGGGUGGAGCUGAGACCAGUCGAAGAUACCAGCUGGCUGCAACUGUUUAUUAAAAACACAGCACUGUGCAAACACGAAAGUGGACGUAUACGGUGUGACGCCUGCCCGGUGCCGGAAGGUUAAUUGAUGGGGUUAUCCGUAAGGAGAAGCUCUUGAUCGAAGCCCCGGUAAACGGCGGCCGUAACUAUAACGGUCCUAAGGUAGCGAAAUUCCUUGUCGGGUAAGUUCCGACCUGCACGAAUGGCGUAAUGAUGGCCAGGCUGUCUCCACCCGAGACUCAGUGAAAUUGAACUCGCUGUGAAGAUGCAGUGUACCCGCGGCAAGACGGAAAGACCCCGUGAACCUUUACUAUAGCUUGACACUGAACAUUGAGCCUUGAUGUGUAGGAUAGGUGGGAGGCUUUGAAGCGUGGACGCCAGUCUGCGUGGAGCCAACCUUGAAAUACCACCCUUUAAUGUUUGAUGUUCUAACGUUGGCCCCUUACCGGGGUUGCGGACAGUGUCUGGUGGGUAGUUUGACUGGGGCGGUCUCCUCCCAAAGCGUAACGGAGGAGCACGAAGGUUAGCUAAUCCUGGUCGGACAUCAGGAGGUUAGUGCAAUGGCAUAAGCUAGCUUGACUGCGAGCGUGACGGCGCGAGCAGGUGCGAAAGCAGGUCAUAGUGAUCCGGUGGUUCUGAAUGGAAGGGCCAUCGCUCAACGGAUAAAAGGUACUCCGGGGAUAACAGGCUGAUACCGCCCAAGAGUUCAUAUCGACGGCGGUGUUUGGCACCUCGAUGUCGGCUCAUCACAUCCUGGGGCUGAAGUAGGUCCCAAGGGUAUGGCUGUUCGCCAUUUAAAGUGGUACGCGAGCUGGGUUUAGAACGUCGUGAGACAGUUCGGUCCCUAUCUGCCGUGGGCGCUGGAGAAUUGAGGGGGGCUGCUCCUAGUACGAGAGGACCGGAGUGGACGCAUCACUGGUGUUCGGGUUGUCAUGCCAAUGGCACUGCCCGGUAGCUAAAUGCGGAAGAGAUAAGUGCUGAAAGCAUCUAAGCACGAAACUUGCCCCGAGAUGAGUUCUCCCUGAGACUUUAAGUCUCCUGAAGGAACGUUGAAGACGACGACGUUGAUAGGCCGGGUGUGUAAGCGCAGCGAUGCGUUGAGCUAACCGGUACUAAUGAACCGUGAGGCUUAACCUU
RNAcentral lists this ribosomal RNA (2902 nucleotides) under Klebsiella pneumoniae. RNAcentral describes it as "23S ribosomal RNA". It matches the Rfam family "Bacterial large subunit ribosomal RNA". Lineage: Bacteria; Pseudomonadati; Pseudomonadota; Gammaproteobacteria; Enterobacterales; Enterobacteriaceae. The record is from RNAcentral.